UGAGGUACGAAAGCGUGGGGAGCAAACAGGAUUAGAUACCUGGUAGUCCACGCGUAAGCGAUGAUAACUAGCUGUUCGGUCUCUACGAGCUUGAGUGGCGCAGCUAACGCAUUAAGUUAUCCGCCUGGGGAGUACGGUCGCAAGAUUAAAACUCAAAGGAAUUGACGGGGGCCUGCACAAGUGGUGGAGCAUGUGGUUUAAUUCGAAGCAACGCGCAGAACCUUACCAGCGUUUGACAUCCUAAUCGCGGUUUUCAGAGAUGAUUACCUUCAGUUCGGCUGGAUUAGUGACAGGUGCUGCAUGGCUGUCGUCAGCUCGUGUCGUGAGAUGUUGGGUUAAGUCCCGCAACGAGCGCAACCCUCGUCCUUAGUUGCCAUCAUUCAGUUGGGCACUCUAAGGAAACUGCCGGUGAUAAGCCGGAGGAAGGUGGGGAUGACGUCAAGUCCUCAUGGCCCUUACACGCUGGGCUACACACGUGCUACAAUGGCGGUGACAGUGGGCAGCAACCGGGCGACCGGUAGCUAAUCUCCAAAAACCGUCUCAGUUCGGAUUGUUCUCUGCAACUCGAGAGCAUGAAGGCGGAAUCGCUAGUAAUCGCGGAUCAGCAUGCCACGGUGAAUACGUUCCCAGGCCUUGUACACACCGCCCGUCACACCAUGGGAUUUGGAUUCACCCGAAGGCAGUGCGCUAACCGCAAGGAGGCAGCUGACC
This 711-nucleotide ribosomal RNA is filed under the name uncultured bacterium. Its description in RNAcentral is "bacterial SSU rRNA". It matches the Rfam family "Bacterial small subunit ribosomal RNA", at positions 747 to 1458 of the family's 1533-position model. The record is from RNAcentral.